RNAcentral lists this ribosomal RNA (1323 nucleotides) under Triticum aestivum (bread wheat). RNAcentral's name for it is "partial small subunit ribosomal RNA". Lineage: Eukaryota; Viridiplantae; Streptophyta; Magnoliopsida; Poales; Poaceae. The record is from RNAcentral.
AUGGCAAUGCGGAGUAUCAGGACAGCAUCAUUGAUGGCUGGGCAGUGGGUGCCUGAAACUCAGGAAAACGAGGCAGUUUUUGAUGCGUUGAGGGAGGCGUACCGGCUCCUUAUAUCGAAGCAUUUCAGCACCAUUCAGGAUUGGAUAUCUGUGCUUGUUAGGGUCAAUCUUGCAGAUAAUCGGUUCAGAGAUUCUGCAUUGAAGGAAUUCAUUGAUGUUAAGAAUGAAAUACGUGCUGUAAGAGGCCAGUGCAAUGAGCUUGGUCUCGAUCUUGAUAAUGUUCGUAGGAAGAAGGAUGUUCAGGAGGAAGAUGAAGAGGAUUGGGUGGAGGGAAAGAUUGAAGUUCCUAGUCCUCCUAGAGUUGAUAGCACUGUAGAUGUUGCAGGUUCCAACAAGGACAAUAGGAAGGGAAAGAGGAUGAGAGAAAAAAGCUCCUUACUGAAGCCCCUUUGGUAUCAUGGAGCUCUGUCUUACCGGUGGGGUUCAAAUAUGGAUGCACAUGUAAACCAGAGGGGGCUUGAGCUCGAGAGCCAUUGGGGGAGGAUGGAUAAUGAUGCUGUUAUACCUGCUGCAAAGAUUGCAGAGUUAAAUGUUCACCAUUCUAUUUAUAAAGAAGAGCCAGUUGAGAUCCUACCAUGUCAUGCACCUCUGAAGAAAGGAGGUCUUUGCCAGAGAAGGGAUCUCAAGAUAUGCCCUUUUCAUGGGCUCAUCAUCCCACGUAAUGCAAGUGGAAAUCCAAUUGGCAAAAUUGGUGGCAGUUCUGAUGCAGGAGGCGAUCCGCUUGAGCAGAAAGUAGACAUUCGUGAGGCAGGAGGAAAUCCGAUUAAGACAAAUGGAGGCAGUGAUACUGAAAGUACACAGGAGGGUCAGGAGCCCUCUACUUCAAUGAUGAGAAGCAUAAAUAAUGACACAAGCGACAUCGAUGGAGCACAUGACCUGAGUAAAAUUACAAUGGACCAGCUGGCAAUGCAAGCAAUUAAGAAUGUUCGGAAAAGGGACAUGGACGACAAAGCACGGGAAAGAGCCCAACGUGCGAGAAUCCGCCAGCACAAUGAAGAUGUUCUGCGGCAAGCGGCUAUUGCUUCAACGCCCCACUCAGCGGUAGCAUAUGACCAGCCUUCUGGAACAUUGGGCCGACGUGGUCGACGUCGAGGUAAGACGAAGGAACCUACACUAUCAUCAAUGCUGAAGAAGAAAGUUACUGCAAAAGAUAGGAUUGCAGGGAGGCUUCUAAAUGGUCGUGCUAGGGACGCAACAAUAAGAGAAGCUUCUAAUACUGAGGAUAUGACCUACAGAGAAGCAUUCCCAAAUCAGUGGCAGUGA